Molecule: ribosomal RNA, 279 nt
Filed under: uncultured Anaerolineaceae bacterium
Lineage: Bacteria; Bacillati; Chloroflexota; Anaerolineae; Anaerolineales; Anaerolineaceae
Description: partial 16S ribosomal RNA
Rfam family: Bacterial small subunit ribosomal RNA
Source: RNAcentral
GAGACGCAACCCUCGCCCGUAUGUUACUAAGUGUCAUACGGGACUGGCCGGUAAAAAGACCGGAGGAAGGUGAGGAUGAUGUCAAGUCAGCAUGACCUUUAUAUCCAGGGCUACACACACGCUACAAUGGUCUGUACAAUUGGUUGCCAAGCCGCGAGGCGGAGCCAAUCCGUAAAGCAGGCCUCAGUUCAGAUUGCAGUCUGCAACUCGACUGCAUGAAGCCGGAGUUGCUAGUAACCGCAGGUCAGCAAUACUGCGGUGAAUACGUUCCCGGGUCUU